CCCCCUCAAGAUGAGAUUUCCCAAUUAGUAAGACCCCUUGAAGACGACGAGGUAGAUAGGUUGGGGGUGGAAGUGCAGUAAUGCAUGGAGCUGACCAAUACUAAUCGGUCGAGGGCUUAUCCUA
RNAcentral lists this ribosomal RNA (124 nucleotides) under Paenibacillus polymyxa. Its description in RNAcentral is "partial 23S ribosomal RNA". It matches the Rfam family "Bacterial large subunit ribosomal RNA", at positions 2794 to 2925 of the family's 2925-position model. Lineage: Bacteria; Bacillati; Bacillota; Bacilli; Caryophanales; Paenibacillaceae. RNAcentral also lists the same sequence under 1 other name. The record is from RNAcentral.